Oncorhynchus tshawytscha (Chinook salmon) is the source of this 212-nucleotide long non-coding RNA. RefSeq lists it as uncharacterized. The transcript has 2 exons. NCBI's taxonomy places the organism in Eukaryota, Metazoa, Chordata, Actinopteri, Salmoniformes, Salmonidae. The record is from RefSeq and is a predicted model, not a curated record.
CACGCCCAGUACCAACAGUUUACUAUACAGGUAACACAGCCACGCCCAGUACCAACAGUUUACUAUACAGGUAACACAGCCACGCCCAGUACCAACAGUUUACUAUACAGGUAACACAGCCACGCCCAGUACCAACAGUUUACUAUACAGGUAACACAGCCACACCCAGUACCAACAGUUUACUAUACAGGUAACACAGCCACGCCCAGUAC